AUGGUGGUAUGCGCAAGAUGUUCGCCGUCUCGUCGUUGCAUCUGAUUCCCCUCGCUCCCAGGAUGAGUGGUAGAAAGCGAAGUCUCUCGCCCGGAGAGUCAUAGUUACUCCCGCCGUUUACCCGCGCUUUUUUGAAUCUCUUCACGUUGACAUUCAGAGCACUGGGCAGAAAUCGCAUUGAAACGUGACGGUCGUGAUUAUCGUAUAUGCAAAGAACAGGGGAUUCCUUGCUCGAAGGAACUAAUUUUGAAAAAUGAUGUAAAUAUUCUAAAAAUAUUGGCCCGUUCAUCCAACCAGACGGGUUUGCACUGCCAGAUGAUCCAGUUGGAGCAUUUUUUAACAUAGUCCUUAAAUUUUGCUCUAGGAAAAAUAAAGCACGGUGGAAUUGAGUUUCCUAUUGCAUUAAUAGUUGCACAAACGAUGACCGUUUCUCCUUUUUCGCGAGACGUAGCGCGUCCGAUUUGUUUUCUGCCUUUCUCUGCAAUAAUUUUGCUUGGUCGGUGAACUGUUUGAAGCCCAGUUUCAUCAAGAUUGUAAAUAAAGGCUGGAUUAAACUGAUAUUUUUCAAAUAAAUGGGCAAGUUUGUCAAAAAACUCCCCAACGUUUUUUUUUGUUAAAGCUAGUAGCUCUCGACAAACUUGUUGAUACUGGCUUCCUAAUUGAUAGGUUCUUUUACCUUUGAAGAAAUCCUUUAAGCCAAUCUUUGCUUGCGCGUCCGUUUACCCACCAAUUGUCAGGUACUUUUUUACUAUUAGCUACAGCGUAAUUAUAAGCUAGCUCUUUGACUUGGUUAAUAUUCAGCCCAUAAUGCAUAUUAGCCGCUGUAAUAAGAUAUUCUGCUAAUGCUUUUUCUUCACAAUCGGUAAAAAGCUGCCUGCUAACAAAUUUUGAACUGUAAGUUUGGUUCCCCGGAACUCUUUUUGAUUUUACAUAUCCAAAUAGUGUAGAUUUGGGACUAUUGUAAUCUGCAGCUGCCUGUCUGACGGACUUGACUUUAUUCCUUAUAUCAUCCAACGCUCGUUGGAAAACGUCUGGAGAAAUGUUAGCCUGUCUUGCAGGACGCUUUAGCUGACAUGGGGCCUUUUUCUUGUAAACGGUCCGCAUAUUCUGUGAGAUAAAACGCUCUUAUUAAAAUAAAAUAAUAAUAAGGUAUAAACGUACCUCAUGCAACCGUCCGAAACAUCCCUCUACUGGUUUUAGAUAUUUGGGAAAUUUUAAAAAAAGUUAGGUUAUAGGUAGGUAAGCUAAGUGUUGAGUAUAUGACAAAAACUACAAAGGACGGUCUAUCUUUAAGUACCAAUACAAUAUAAAUACCUACAGGUGCUACAGUGUUCAAAAUUCACAACGGCGGUAAUAUUUAAGUAUGUCCUAAACAUCCCGCGGUCCGAAAGGUACCUACUCUCCCCUACAUUGUUCACGUAGGAAAUCCCACCCGAAUACAUCUGUUUGGGUUUCAAUGUAAGAAAUGUAACAUUUGGAAAAAAACACAUAAUAAACACGUUGACAUACGUUGUUGUGAUACAAAAUGCACAGGAAGCGAAUAUUCUUGGAAUCGGUGCGACAAGUGUAUUUAAAAAUGAUAUUGGAGAUUAAAAAUUUUUGUAGGCCUAUACAGACACACGUAACCUCACUUAUUCGUAAAUUUAAAGUUGACCUACAUCCUAUCCUCCUUGAGCAUGUUCACUCUUUGACAACCACAGGGCUGACAUAACAAUUUUAAAACGAAUAGGGUUAUUGUGCACUUGGUUAAAGUUUUUGUAUAAAACGAAUGGUUUGGUGUUGACAGAAGUGACUACGUCACCAAUAUCAACCUAAAACGAAUAAAACUAAUGUCGCAAAAGGUUGGGAUUAAAUUGGUAGGUACGCAGCGCGACACGAAUUGGAAGGGAUUGGUCAAACAUUACAAGAUAGUCAAGAAAUAUAACGACACUUCCGGCAACGAUCCAAAAUUUUGAAAAUUUUUUGACUUACUAAAUGAAAUAUUACAGAAAAAACCUGAAAUUCAACCAGUUGCAACAUGUAGCAGUGCAAGGGAUCUGGAAAUACCUGGAGCAUCAGAUGAAGCAAGAACUAGCGAUUGUGGAACCACUUCUAGCGGGACAAGUACUCCUACUCACAAAAGGAAAAGAAGGACGGUAGAGAACAGCAUUGACACAGAGACAUAGAGAAAGAAUGCAGCGACAAGACCAAUUUAUUGCUAUACUUAAAGAUGUUGCAAAUACUAUGGAACACAAGUGUGAUUGCGAAAAAAAAAUCACUCUUCUAGUGAUGAUCAGUUUCUUUGCAAUGAUGCUGUGUCUAUAAUCUUAUGUUUUAUUCAAUAAAAAAUGUUCCAUGAA
Molecule: long non-coding RNA, 2339 nt
Organism: Photinus pyralis (common eastern firefly)
Lineage: Eukaryota; Metazoa; Arthropoda; Insecta; Coleoptera; Lampyridae
Exons: 2
Source: RefSeq, a predicted model, not a curated record